RNAcentral lists this long non-coding RNA (461 nucleotides) under Urocitellus parryii (Arctic ground squirrel). Its description in RNAcentral is "lncRNA (ENSUPAG00010005344.1)". Lineage: Eukaryota; Metazoa; Chordata; Mammalia; Rodentia; Sciuridae. The record is from RNAcentral.
GUCGCGGGCGGCGGGGCCGGGGCCGCGGGAGGGGCGGCGGGGGCAGACAAAGCGGCUAAUGAAUGGGCGCGCCCGCCGCGCCGUUCCCCGUCCCCAGCGCGCGGACCGCGCCGCGCCGAGCCGGCGCCCAGAUCAUUGGCAGGCCUAGAGUUUGCAGAGUGAGAACUGGGAAGUGGACCUCUGGAAGCAUGAAUACAGUAAGUGUCCAUGGACAUGCAGGAGGGCUGUGUGUGCUGUCGAGGUGGUGGGGACCCUGUAUUCAAGACCUGCAGCCAGUCUCCCCUGUGCAGACGAGCGUCCCCACGGCCAGGCCCGCAGCAGCAGAGCCCCAGCACGGAGCACUCACAGGAACAGCCUAGAGACGGAACGGCUGUGACAGGGUGACGAUGAUGCUGGGCCGGCGCACAGGGGCACUCAGACCAGCUCUCCGUUGACCCGAGACACUAGCAUGAGGAAGGAGC